UACGGGGGGGGCAAGCGUUGUUCGGAAUUACUGGGCGUAAAGCGUGCGCAGGCGGUUUUGUAAGCCAGGUGUGAAAUCCCCGGGCUCAACCGGGGAGGGUCAUUGGAAACUGGGGAACUUGAGUACUGAAGAGGAAAGCGGAAUUCCACGUGUAGCGGUGAAAUGCGUAGAGAUGUGGAGGAACGCCAGUGGCGAAGGCGGCUUUCUGGUCAGUAACUGACGCUGAGGCGCGAAAGCGUGGGGAGCAAACAGG
RNAcentral lists this ribosomal RNA (253 nucleotides) under uncultured bacterium. RNAcentral's name for it is "partial 16S ribosomal RNA". It matches the Rfam family "Bacterial small subunit ribosomal RNA", at positions 524 to 776 of the family's 1533-position model. The record is from RNAcentral.